Long non-coding RNA from Ictalurus punctatus (channel catfish), 1341 nucleotides. The record is from Ensembl. NCBI's taxonomy places the organism in Eukaryota, Metazoa, Chordata, Actinopteri, Siluriformes, Ictaluridae.
UGCUUUUGAAAACUCCUUUUAUUUAUUAUCCUCGGCCUUACGGCCACACCCGCCACGCCACUCCAACCAAAAAAAAAAAAAAAAAAAAAAAAAAAAUUUAAAUCAUUACAAGGGUCAUUUAUUUUCAUCAUUCACCAUAAAUAAAUACUUAUCUUUCCUCAACAAUCAUUUAAAUAAAUAUCUGUGACUCAUCGAUAAUAUGUCGGCAACAGAAAAAAAAAAAUGUGUAAAAUGUAUAUAGAUAUAUUUAUAUAUAUAAUAUAUUCAUUUAUAUAGAUUUCUUUCUCUCUCUCUCUCUCUCUCUCUCUCUCUCUCUCUCUCUCUCCUUUAAUUCUUUUACAACUUACAAGAUGCCAACUGUACCAAAGCAAUGCUUACAAAUACAAUAUGGGGAACUUUUAGUGGUUAACUUAAAGACUGUGUUCAGCACCAGUUCCGGUAAAAUGCUUGUACCUAUACACUGCGCCCAUCCCUAUAAUAUGACCCCUCCUUGGAGAGACUGUCUCUUAGGAUUUCACCAUGGAGGAGAGGUUUCAUCAGGGUUAAACGUUGCGAAAAGACGUUUCGGGUCUUUGUGGUUUUGACGAGUAGUAGUAAGCCAAGGUUUUGAGGAUCUUGAGGAUCUUGAAGACCUGGCUUGAUCACUGUUAGACAUGCAGAAUGACAUAGUUGACUGAAAACCGCGUUCACAGACCUUAAUAUUUUUACACCUGAACACUGGAAUUGGACCUUAUGUUCUUUUGAGUCUUCACCCCUUGAAAAUAAGCACGAUCCCGAAAGAAACCCCGUUACAUUACGCUGUUAUCGAUGGCUACGGGUAUAAUUACAGCGUAAUGAUCACUAAACGGUAAUUCCACGUUUACCGGCCUUUUACACGAAGGAGCGAAUGUACUCGCAAGUGUUUCCAAUUUUUGUGACGGUGAAAAAAUACGACCCAAUUACACAGUAAUUAUUAUAGGACAGAUCGUUAUCGUGCGACUGUAACGUAAAAGAAGAAGGAUUUUAUGCGGAACCACAAAAGACCUCUCCUCCAUAAUAUAUAGCCCACUUUAAAGUUCAUUUCGAAGUGUUAGACAGGCCUGUGAUUUGAAGUUAAAUUUCCCGAAGGUAAUAGAAAAUAACGGUUAACAAUAAUACCCAGAUUAAACCAAAUAGAAUAAAAAUAGAAAUACAAUAACAAUCCUACAUAGAUAGAAAAAUAUAGCAAAGGAACUCUAACAACAAGGAGCAGUGUGCAUAUACGGGGGGAAAACACACACACACACACACACACACACACACACACACACCCACGCACGCACGCACGCACGAAACAGAUUUCUUGAUUUCAUUUCUCAUCCC